RNAcentral lists this ribosomal RNA (710 nucleotides) under uncultured soil bacterium. RNAcentral describes it as "bacterial SSU rRNA". It matches the Rfam family "Bacterial small subunit ribosomal RNA", at positions 45 to 762 of the family's 1533-position model. The record is from RNAcentral.
UGCUUAACACAUGCAAGUCAAGGGGGCCCAGCAAUGGGCAACCGGCGAACGGGUGCGUAACACGUGAGCAACCUACCGAACUGUGGGGGAUAGCCGGCCUAACGGCCGAGUAAUACCGCAUACGCUUUCAUUGAGGCAUUUCAGUGAAAGGAAACCUACGGGACAGAUCGAGGGGCUCGCGGCCUAUCAGCUAGUUGGCGAGGUAACGGCUCACCAAGGCAACGACGGGUAGCUGGUCUGAGAGGAUGGACAGCCACACGGGCACUGAGAUACGGGCCCGACUCCUACGGGAGGCAGCAGUAAGGAAUAUUGGUCAAUGGGCGAAAGUCUGAACCAGCCAUGCCGCGUGAAGGAUGAAGGCCCUCUGGGUUGUAAACUUCUUUUAUCUAUGAAGAAAUGUCCUGUUUCUACGGGACUUGACGGUAAUAGAUGAAUCAGCACCGGCUAACUCCGUGCCAGCAGCCGCGGUAAUACGGAGGGUGCAAGCGUUAUCCGGAUUUACUGGGUUUAAAGGGUGCGUAGGUGGGUUGGUAAGUCAGUGGUGAAAUACUUUCGCUUAACGAAGGAACUGCCAUUGAUACUACCAGUCUUGAAUACAGUGGAGGUAGGCGGAAUGCGUCAUGUAGCGGUGAAAUGCUUAGAUAUGACGCAGAACACCAAUUGCGAAGGCAGCUUGCUACACUGUUAUUAACACUGAGGCACGAAAGCGU